UACAGAGGUCUCAACCGUUGUUCGGAUUCAUUGGGCGUAAAGGGUGCGUAGGCGGUCGGGUAAGUCGGAUGUGAAAUCUCAGGGCUCAACCCUGAAACUGCAUUCGAUACUGCCUGGCUAGGGUACUGGAGAGGAGACUGGAAUUUACGGUGUAGCAGUGAAAUGCGUAGAGAUCAUGAGGAAGACCAGUGGCGAAGGCGGGUCUCUGGACAGUUCCUGACACUGAGGCACGAAGGCCAGGGGAGCAAACGGG
Molecule: ribosomal RNA, 253 nt
Filed under: uncultured bacterium
Lineage: Bacteria
Description: partial 16S ribosomal RNA
Rfam family: Bacterial small subunit ribosomal RNA
Source: RNAcentral